AUUGAACGCUGGCGGCAUGCCUUACACAUGCAAGUCGAACGGCAGCACGGGUGCUUGCACCUGGUGGCGAGUGGCGAACGGGUGAGUAAUACAUCGGAACAUGUCCUGUAGUGGGGGAUAGCCCGGCGAAAGCCGGAUUAAUACCGCAUACGAUCUACGGAUGAAAGCGGGGGACCUUCGGGCCUCGCGCUAUAGGGUUGGCCGAUGGCUGAUUAGCUAGUUGGUGGGGUAAAGGCCUACCAAGGCGACGAUCAGCAGCUGGUCUGAGAGGACGACCAGCCACACUGGGACUGAGACGCGGCCCAGACUCCUACGGGAGGCAGCAGUGGGGAAUUUUGGACAAUGGGCGAAAGCCUGAUCCAGCAAUGCCGCGUGUGUGAAGAAGGCCUUCGGGUUGUAAAGCACUUUUGUCCGGAAAGAAAUCCUUGGCCCUAAUACGGUCGGGGGAUGACGGUACCGGAAGAAUAAGCACCGGCUAACUACGUG
Molecule: ribosomal RNA, 486 nt
Filed under: uncultured bacterium
Lineage: Bacteria
Description: partial 16S ribosomal RNA
Rfam family: Bacterial small subunit ribosomal RNA
Source: RNAcentral